Molecule: non-coding RNA, 71 nt
Organism: Arvicanthis niloticus (Nile rat)
Lineage: Eukaryota; Metazoa; Chordata; Mammalia; Rodentia; Muridae
Source: RefSeq, a predicted model, not a curated record
AAGCUGGAGCUAACGGAGUAAGUGACGAGAAGGCAAUCAGGCUGCUGAAGUCGUGGGCUCCUCCAAAUGUG